AACGCCAUGUAGGGGUGCCCCCGAGCGGGAGCUGAGAGGAUACCCUCCGGACCCGACCUGGAUAAUGCCAGCGUGGGAAACGUGGAGCCGAUCGAU
RNAcentral lists this non-coding RNA (96 nucleotides) under Actinomycetota bacterium. RNAcentral's name for it is "Actinobacteria bacterium TPP sequence". It matches the Rfam family "TPP riboswitch aptamer (THI element)". From Rfam's summary of the family: Vitamin B(1) in its active form thiamin pyrophosphate (TPP) is an essential coenzyme that is synthesised by coupling of pyrimidine and thiazole moieties in bacteria. The previously detected thiamin-regulatory element, thi box was extended, resulting in a new, highly conserved RNA secondary structure, the THI element, which is widely distributed in eubacteria and also occurs in some archaea. Analysis of operon structures identified a large number of new candidate thiamin-regulated genes, mostly transporters, in various prokaryotic organisms. The record is from RNAcentral. Lineage: Bacteria; Bacillati; Actinomycetota.